AAGGAAAGAAGAAUGCCUUUGGGUAAUAAAACUUAAUUGGAAGGGAAAAAAGAAGUGCCCGUACCAAAAGCCAGCCCCGGCUAAGUACGUGCCAGCAGCCGCGGUAAUACGUAGGGGGCGAGUCUUGUCCGGAAUUACUUAAAGUAAAGAUCAGGUAGGCGGCAAUUCAAGUCAGAAAUGAAAAGCCUCAGCUCAACCGAGGGUUUGCAUAUGAAAUUAAAUGAGUUGAGUAAAGGAGAGGAGAAUUGAAUUCGUGGCGUAGAAAUGAAUUGAGUUGAGAUCGGGAACCAGUCCAGAAGGGAAAUCGGCUGUCUGGAACUGAAGUGGCGGUGAGAAAGGAAAGGGAGCGGACCAAACAAGAUUCCA
RNAcentral lists this ribosomal RNA (366 nucleotides) under uncultured bacterium. RNAcentral describes it as "bacterial SSU rRNA". It matches the Rfam family "Bacterial small subunit ribosomal RNA", at positions 400 to 787 of the family's 1533-position model. The record is from RNAcentral.